CGUCUUAGGAUGCCAAAAGAACGGUUCAAAUCACCCUCAUUUGCCCAUCGUUCUCUCUCUAGAAAAUCUGAAGAAAAAGAAAAACAAUCUCGCCAUUAUCUGCUCAGUUGGGCACCCAUCUCCAUACAAACCUUCCAUUUUAUUUUUCAGCCCCCUCUCUCUAAAAUCAUGGCUCUCAGAAACGCAAAAUCCUUCUGUCUCUUAGAAAUUCAGCCACCUCCUCUCUCGGAUCUCUGCCCUCGCAGCCCUUUCAUGUCUCAAAUCUUCUCUGCCUGCAACUGAACAACGUACCUCCCCCUUUGUUGACUAGCCCAUCCGUGGUAGAAAAUCGGAAAAACUGACAGCCAAAGCUGUUUGAGGACCCCCAAUAAUUUCAAAUCCGAGACAACAACACAAGAACAACACCCUGAAUCUCCAUCUCAUCUCAACAAAAUCAUGUCUCCCAAGCCUCAAGCCAUCACAGAUUCGAGUGACAGUCUUGUAGAUCGAGACCACUGCACACAUGCAACGGUGUCCGAGAUGCACCAAGAGACUGAAGAGACAACCUUGAAGAGCUCCCAAACUCACGGAUCUGCAAAUUGUUAGCGUACAACCGAGAGACAACAACCUGGAGCUUCCGGUCUAGUGGUUACGGAAGGCAGCAUAAAUGACAAAUGUCUCGGCCUCUGCAAAUAAGUAAGAGGUAUACGGAUCCAUGAUAGAGCCAAGGACACAGAAGUAAACACACAAGAGCAACAGAGGAAAACAGCACUGGCCGCAUGACCCAGAUCGAUGCAUCUGGGAGGUAAAAUUCGAAUCCCUGCAAGUGUAGUUGUUGUAGAUCUGGUAAUAAUAUCUGUACUCAGUUCUGUGGUGUAUGGAUCUGUGAUUUAAUUGUGCUUCCUCCAUGCAUUGCAAAACUGAGCUGCAGAAAUUAACUGCUCUAAAGUUCGUUUAUGUGCUGGAUCUGCAACAAUCACCCCCAAACUUGCAUCUGUGAAUGGCUUUUAUAUGUUGACUGCUUUAAAUUUCCAGCAUAGUGUAGAUGUGGUUGAUGUGAACGUUAGACUUGCUGCUGGGUGCAGGAUUCCAGCAUAGGACGCGCUUUAUUUUCCACGUUCGCAACCUGCAAUUAACCAAUAUGCGUCAAAAAA
This is a non-coding RNA of Malus domestica (apple), 1133 nucleotides long. Lineage: Eukaryota; Viridiplantae; Streptophyta; Magnoliopsida; Rosales; Rosaceae. The record is from RefSeq and is a predicted model, not a curated record.